RNAcentral lists this ribosomal RNA (376 nucleotides) under uncultured bacterium. RNAcentral describes it as "bacterial SSU rRNA". It matches the Rfam family "Bacterial small subunit ribosomal RNA", at positions 524 to 898 of the family's 1533-position model. The record is from RNAcentral.
UACGUAGGGUGCGAGCGUUAAUCGGAAUUACUGGGCGUAAAGCGUGCGCAGGCGGUUGUGUAAGUCAGAUGUGAAAUCCCCGGGCUCAACCUGGGAACUGCAUUUGAGACUGCACGGCUAGAGUGUGACAGAGGGGGGUAGAAUUCCACGUGUAGCAGUGAAAUGCGUAGAGAUGUGGAGGAAUACCGAUGGCGAAGGCAGCCCCCUGGGUUACUACUGACGCUCAUGCACGAAAGCGUGGGGAGCAAACAGGAUUAGAUACCCUGGUAGUCCACGCCCUAAACGAUGUCAACUGGAUGUUGGGAGGGUUAAACCUCUUAGUGUCGUAGCUAACGCGUGAAGUUGACCGCCUGGGGAGUACGGCCGCAAGGCUAAA